AUGCUCAAGGACAUGAUCAUGCAACUUUUUGGAAAUGAAGAAUUGAAGCAAUAUUUGAAGGAACUUGAGGGUAAAAUAGUGCAAGUAGAUGAUCUGACCAGCUACCUCAUGGAAAAGCUACUGGAUAAGAGGUACUUUAUUGUUCUUGAUGACUUGUGGUCCGUAGAUGCCUGGAGGUUGAUAAAAGAUAUUGCUAUUCCCAGUAGUAACAUCAAAGGUAGUCGGAUAAUAGUAACAACACGCGACAUUGGCCUAGCUCAUGAGUGUACUACCGAGUCUCAUAUUUACCACCUUAAGCCCCUGCAAAUAGAAGAAGCCACGAAUCUGCUACUCAGAAAGACAGGGAAGACACGCAAAGACAUAGAAAAUGAUGAGGACAUGAGGACGAUGGUUUCUAAAGUAGUAAAAAAGUGUGGUUGUUUACCGCUGGCUAUACUUGCCAUAGGAGGCAUGCUUGCUACCAAAGCAAUCGAAAUGUGGGAAAGCAUAUAUAAGGAAAUCCCAUUCGAGCUUGAGAGUAACCCAAGCCUUGAAGCAAUGAGGAGGAUGGUUACUCUAAGUUACAACCACAUGCCAUCUCAUCUUAAAUCAUGCUUUCUGUAUUUAAGCAUCUUUCCGGAGGAUUUUGAAAUCAAGAGAAGUCAUUUGGUCAAUUGA
This 657-nucleotide ribosomal RNA is filed under the name Triticum aestivum (bread wheat). Its description in RNAcentral is "partial small subunit ribosomal RNA". Lineage: Eukaryota; Viridiplantae; Streptophyta; Magnoliopsida; Poales; Poaceae. The record is from RNAcentral.